This 574-nucleotide ribosomal RNA is filed under the name uncultured bacterium. RNAcentral's name for it is "bacterial SSU rRNA". It matches the Rfam family "Bacterial small subunit ribosomal RNA", at positions 271 to 842 of the family's 1533-position model. The record is from RNAcentral.
UGCCGACGAUGCGUAGGGGUUCUGAGAGGAAGGCCCCCCACACUGGUACUGAGACACGGACCAGACUCCUACGGGAGGCAGCAGUGAGGAAUAUUGGUCAAUGGCCGAGAGGCUGAACCAGCCAAGUCGCGUGAGGGAAGAAUGUCCUAAGGAUUGUAAACCUCUUUUGUCGGGGAGCAAAAAGGCUCUGCGGAGUCGUAUUGAGAGUACCCGAAGAAAAAGCAUCGGCUAACUCCGUGCCAGCAGCCGCGGUAAUACGGAGGAUGCGAGCGUUAUCCGGAUUUAUUGGGUUUAAAGGGUGCGCAGGCGGCGUGUCAAGCAAGCGGUAAAAUAGCGGGGCUCAACCCCGUCGAGCCGUUUGAACUGGCGCGCUUGAGUUCAGGCGAGGUAGGCGGAAUUCGUGGUGUAGCGGUGAAAUGCAUAGAUAUCACGAAGAACUCCGAUUGCGAAGGCAGCUUACCAGUCUGCGACUGACGCUCAGGCACGAAAGUGUGGGUAUCGAACAGGAUUAGAUACCCUGGUAGUCCACACAGUAAACGAUGAGCGCUAGGUGUCCGGGUCGCAUGAGACUUGG